GAAAUGCGAUAAGUAAUGUGAAUUGCAGAAUUCCGUGAAUCAUCGAAUCUUUGAACGCACAUUGCGCCCUCUGGCAUUCCGGGGGGCAUGCCUGUCCGAGCGUCAUUGCAAACCCUCAAGCACGGCUUGUGUGUUGGGUGUUUGUCCCCGUCUCCGCGCGUGGACUCGCCCCAAAGUGAUUGGCAGCCGGCGUACUGGUCCCGGAGCGCAGCACAUGUCGCGCAAACGAGUGCCUUGGUACGGCGGCGUCCAUAAGCCCCUCUCUCACGCUCUUGACCUCGGAUCAGGUAGGGAUACCCGCUGAACUUAAGC
RNAcentral lists this unclassified non-coding RNA (312 nucleotides) under plant metagenome. RNAcentral describes it as "partial contains 5.8S ribosomal RNA, internal transcribed spacer 2, and large subunit ribosomal RNA". The stretch from base 1 to 105 matches the Rfam family "5.8S ribosomal RNA", at positions 50 to 154 of the family's 154-position model. The record is from RNAcentral.